Pelobates cultripes (western spadefoot toad) is the source of this 201-nucleotide non-coding RNA. The record is from the annotation of a GenBank genome assembly. NCBI's taxonomy places the organism in Eukaryota, Metazoa, Chordata, Amphibia, Anura, Pelobatidae.
GUAGACAUCACGGGCUAUUUACCUAAGGUUGUUUUGACACUUUCUAUGUAGCCAUUUCACCGCCAACCUCUGCUAAAUAUUGGAGUAAAAUUGUGGGUUUUUUUGGUUUUUUGCACACAAACUUAUAACAAAGAAAUUCUCGUGUAUAUUUUGUAAAGUUGGUGUGUGCUAUUCCUGUACAAAGUUUUAUUUUGUGUUCAG